CGAGAGGGCGAGAGGCCCAUCCGCGCAACGAAAGCGAAUGGCGGGACGCUCUCCCCGCAGGGGGCGGCGCCGCCGGCCGGACGUCCUCGAGGCGGACCGAGCCGGAGCGCUCGCGUCGGGACCCGAAAGGUGGUGAUCUAUCCGUGCGCGCGGCGAAGCCGGGGGAAACCCCGGUGGAGGCCCGUCGACGGUACUGACGUGCAAAUCGUUCGUCCGACGUGCGAAUAGGGGCGAAAGACCAAUCGAACCUCCUAGUAGCUGGUUUCCGCCGAAAUUUCCCUCAGGAUAGCGGCCAUCGCGGAAACGUUUUGACCGGUAGAGCGAACGACUAGAGGUACCGGGCCGUAACGGCCUCGACCUAUUCUCGAACUCCGAACGGGCAAGGAGCCGGGGUCGCCCGAUCGGACCCCGGACGUGAAGUCGACGAUGGUCGUGGGCUGGUUUUGGUAAGCAGAACGGGCGAUUCGGGAUGAACCGGAAGCGGGGAGAAAGGGCCCGAGAUUGCGUCGACGCGGAUCCCGAAAAGGCGUCGAUCCGUCGCGACAGCGG
RNAcentral lists this ribosomal RNA (549 nucleotides) under uncultured eukaryote. Its description in RNAcentral is "eukaryotic LSU rRNA". It matches the Rfam family "Eukaryotic large subunit ribosomal RNA", at positions 691 to 1243 of the family's 3401-position model. The record is from RNAcentral.